UGAGGAAUAUUGGUCAAUGGACGCAAGUCUGAACCAGCCAAGUAGCGUGCAGGAUGACGGCCCUAUGGGUUGUAAACUGCUUUUAUAAGGGAAUAAAGUUAGUCUCGUGAGACUUUUUGCAUGUACCUUAUGAAUAAGGACCGGCUAAUUCCGUGCCAGCAGCCGCGGUAAUACGGAAGGUCCGGGCGUUAUCCGGAUUUAUUGGGUUUAAAGGGAGCGUAGGCCGGAGAUUAAGCGUGUUGUGAAAUGUAGACGCUCAACGUCUGCACUGCAGCGCGAACUGGUUUCCUUGAGUACGCACAAAGUGGGCGGAAUUCGUGGUGUAGCGGUGAAAUGCUUAGAUAUCACGAAGAACUCCGAUUGCGAAGGCAGCUCACUGGAGCGCAACUGACGCUGAAGCUCGAAAGUGCGGGUAUCGAACAGGAUUAGAUACCCUGGUAGUCCGCACGGUAAACGAUGGAUGCCCGCUGUUGGUCUGAACAGGUCAGCGGCCAAGCGAAAGCAUUAAGCAUCCCACCUGGGGAGUACGCCGGCAACGGUGAAACUCAAAGGAAUUGACGGGGGCCCGCACAAGCGGAGGAACAUGUGGUUUAAUUCGAUGAUACGCGAGGAACCUUACCCGGGCUUGAAUUGCAGAGGAAGGAUUUGGAGACAAUGACGCCCUUCGGGGCCUCUGUGAAGGUGCUGCAUGGUUGUCGUCAGCUCGUGCCGUGAGGUGUCGGCUUAAGUGCCAUAACGAGCGCAACCCCUCUCCUUAGUUGCCAUCAGGUUAAGCUGGGCACUCUGGGGACACUGCCACCGUAAGGUGUGAGGAAGGUGGGGAUGACGUCAAAUCAGCACGGCCCUUACGUCCGGGGCUACACACGUGUUACAAUGGCAGGUACAGAGAGACGGUCCCUUGCAAAAUGGAUCAAAUCCUUAAAGCCUGUCUCAGUUCGGACUGGGGUCUGCAACCCGACCCCACGAAGCUGGAUUCGCUAGUAAUCGCGCAUCAGCCAUGGCGCGGUGAAUACGUUCCC
This 1019-nucleotide ribosomal RNA is filed under the name uncultured bacterium. RNAcentral's name for it is "bacterial SSU rRNA". It matches the Rfam family "Bacterial small subunit ribosomal RNA", at positions 355 to 1375 of the family's 1533-position model. The record is from RNAcentral.